RNAcentral lists this transfer-messenger RNA (398 nucleotides) under Prevotella sp. It matches the Rfam family "transfer-messenger RNA". Rfam says of the family: Bacterial tmRNA, also known as 10Sa RNA or SsrA, is named for its dual tRNA and mRNA-like properties. Its role is to liberate the mRNA from a stalled ribosome. To accomplish this part of the tmRNA is used as a reading frame that ends in a translation stop signal. The record is from RNAcentral. Lineage: Bacteria; Pseudomonadati; Bacteroidota; Bacteroidia; Bacteroidales; Prevotellaceae.
GGGGCUGACUGGCUUUGACAGCGAGAUGAAAUGGUUUGUAAGCAUGCAGCGCAUAGUCGGCUGGCGCUAUAAUCUCAGACGUCAAAAAUUUAACUGGCAACAACAAUUACGCUCUUGCUGCUUAAUCGAAGUAUAGUAGAUAUAGCUUAAUCCCUGCACAGGUGCAGGGACAAGACAUCACCCGGAAGCUGUGGCUUCGAAGCGUGCCGAUCAGGUGGUGCAGGCAAAUCGGAGACAGGAUAAGGGAGGCUUGGGCUCUUAUCUGAAACAAAACAAGCUAAGGAUUGAAUUGGUAGCUUUGGUCUUGUUCAUUCACGAAAAUUAAAACAAAGACAAGCAUGUAGAAAGCAAAUCAGUUCCUUGUUUGGACGAGGGUUCAAUUCCCUCCAGCUCCACAA